GGUUGGACACCUUUACGCCUCGAACACACCGACUGUGUCCUUGGCGUUUCGUUUCACCAGAGGUACAGUCAUUUCCAAUGGAACACUGCAUUUGAAUUGCAGCAUUGCGUUGCAGAGGCAGUUGCAGUACGUUCUGUGUGGUGCAUACGUUCGAUUUAUCGAACGUAUGCAUCAAAUUGUAUGCGUAGAUUUGACAGAAAGUAGCAAAUUAUGAAUGUAGAUUUUUUUUCAACACAUAUUCAGUAAAAAUGUGCGAUUACAUAAAAAGUUUGAUUGCACAAUUUCUUCACAUUUCUUAAUUUAUUUACCAAGUAUAUUUAUUCGAUGACAUCCACAAAUUAAUUGUGAGAGCCUAUAAUAUAAUUUCCCUCAGAUGCAGUUUUCGAGCAAAAUGCAAUAAUAAAUAGUCAAGAUAGCAGAGUUGGCUCUUUCAACAAUGAGACCAACGUUGAGGAAGGUAGUCUUGAUCGCACUGUUGGUCUGUGUGGAUCCAGAGAUGGUUAAAGUCCCGAAAGCAGGCAGGGGAAUUCCACUGUCUAAUUCAAGAGCUUCGACUGUUUUGAGAGUAAUUCCGAAAUUACUUUCGUCUGGACCGAAGCCAGUUCGAUCACCUGCUCCAGAUGGUUGGAGCCAGGAUCGCCCGGAUGGAUAACAACUACCGGGAGUCCAUCAGCCCAGUUGAACGCCUGCCGACUUGUCUCCGAUUCUUGGCGACAGGGGACUCCUACAGGACCAUAGGAUUCAGCUUCUGAGUUGGACGGUCCACGGUGACCCUCCGAGACUCUGCCUCUGGCCAGGCACUUCAGGAUGGCACCCUGGAUAUUCCACUACCUGCAUCACUCCCUGGGGCUGAAGACCUGGGACCUGUUCCCCACGUCUUCGUCGGCGAUGAGGCCUUCCCUUUAAGACCCAACCUCAUGAGGCCCUAUGCUGGAUGUUUUUACUUUCAUCUUGUCUUAGAUCAGCAAAGGUGUAGGGAAGAAAUAAGCAGAUUAAGUCUAAAUUAAAUAUUAAUAAACAACAAACAACUGACUAUGAAAACAUUAUAAUUUAAUAAGUAUUCAUGUACAGGAAAGAACAUAUGUGUGUUGUAAAAAUGUUUUUAAAAAUAACACUAUUGAAAGAGG
Long non-coding RNA from Oncorhynchus nerka (sockeye salmon), 1127 nucleotides. RefSeq lists it as uncharacterized. The transcript has 2 exons. The record is from RefSeq and is a predicted model, not a curated record. NCBI's taxonomy places the organism in Eukaryota, Metazoa, Chordata, Actinopteri, Salmoniformes, Salmonidae.